RNAcentral lists this ribosomal RNA (631 nucleotides) under Hemisphaera sp. 1 MTM-2009. RNAcentral's name for it is "eukaryotic LSU rRNA". It matches the Rfam family "Eukaryotic large subunit ribosomal RNA", at positions 663 to 1225 of the family's 3401-position model. The record is from RNAcentral. Lineage: Eukaryota; Metazoa; Arthropoda; Insecta; Coleoptera; Hydrophilidae.
GGACCAAGGAGUCUAGCAUGUGCGCGAGUCAUUGGGACUUUGCGAAACCUAAAGGCGAAAUGAAAGUGAAGGCGGGCCUCGCGCCCGCCAAGGGAGGAUGGGCCGUUCCCAGGAACGGCCCCGCACUCCCGGGGCGUCUCCAUCUCAUCGCGAGAAGAGGCGCACCCAGAGCGUACACGCUGGGACCCGAAAGAUGGUGAACUAUGCCUGGUCAGGACGAAGUCAGGGGAAACCCUGAUGGAGGUCCGUAGCGAUUCUGACGUGCAAAUCGAUCGUCGGAACUGGGUAUAGGGGCGAAAGACUAAUCGAACCAUCUAGUAGCUGGUUCCCUCCGAAGUUUCCCUCAGGAUAGCUGGCGCUCGCUUUUAGCGAGUCUCAUCCGGUAAAGCGAAUGAUUAGAGGCAUUGGGGUCGAAACGGCCUCAACCUAUUCUCAAACUUUAAAUGGGUGAGAUCUCCGGCUUGCUCGAACUUGAAGCCGCGAGAUUUGCGGCGGCGUUUCGGCGUCGUCGCUUGAAGGAUCAGAGUGCCAAGUGGGCCACUUUUGGUAAGCAGAACUGGCGCUGUGGGAUGAACCAAACGCAGAGUUAAAGCGCCCAAAUCGACGCUUAUGGGAUACCAUGAAAGGCGUU